AAGUCGUAACAAGGUUUCCGUAGGUGAACCUGCGGAAGGAUCAUUACCAAACUUGUGUGUUAACUCACACAUUUAUACCCGAUUAAGUUACAGUCACGAUCGGUGAAAAGUCUCACUACUUCGUAUGGAGAUUGAGCAAAAUUUUAGGCCGGUAUAGUUGGUUCAGUUCGACUAUAUCAGGGCUGUCGAGUCCUAGUGCUCGGCAGCUAACGCUGGUCCUCCUUUCGACUACUCAGACUGUCGGCAUGCUGUAAGCCUGGCAUAGUGGUCGGUAUGGAGAGCCUCGAUCGUGUGCCUUGUGUGCAUGAUUGAAAUGGCUAGCAAAUGUGCUUUUGCACAACGAGUUUGUCUCGCAAACUCUGUGAUUGGAAAGAAACAAACAAUGCAGUACAACUGCAAACGGUGGAUCACUCGGUUC
This 418-nucleotide unclassified non-coding RNA is filed under the name fungal sp. RNAcentral describes it as "partial internal transcribed spacer region". The stretch from base 1 to 46 matches the Rfam family "Eukaryotic small subunit ribosomal RNA", at positions 1786 to 1831 of the family's 1831-position model. Lineage: Eukaryota; Fungi. The record is from RNAcentral.